This is a non-coding RNA of Phascolarctos cinereus (koala), 2936 nucleotides long. The record is from RefSeq and is a predicted model, not a curated record. Lineage: Eukaryota; Metazoa; Chordata; Mammalia; Diprotodontia; Phascolarctidae.
UAGAAGUCAGUAAGUAGGACAAAGGUUAAGCUUUGCUUAGAGUGCUUAACAGGCUCAUGAAUACUAACUUCUCCAUCUCCAGGAGGGGCUAAGAUGCCAUUUUCUGAACAUGAGAUGUACGUAGAAGAAGAAAAGACAUGUCAAGGAGUAGAUGUGUAAUAGGCGUGCCAGAAAGUUGUACACUCUGGAGUACUCAGCCAGUGAGGAAACAGAGGAGGGACUUUGGGGCUGGGAUUAGAGAUAAUAGUGAACUCCUGCUUUGGUACAGUGUGUCCUAGUCCAUAAGACACCCAAAGUUGCAACUGCAUAAUAAACUGGGCUUUUAACUUCAUCACUCCUGAGUCUGAAAGUUAUUUCUCAUAAUUCCUUGGGAGCUCCUCUAGAAUACCAAGCACUGAGAUGGAGAAGCGAUCAUCACCAAAGAGCAGGAAGCUAAUUUUUUAUCAUACCUGUUGAUUUUUAACGGCCUCAUGGACUGAGGGUGAGCACCCUUUCCAUCCAACUGCAGUGACCCGAGACUGAUUGAAAAGGAAGCGUGAACAAAAAAGUGGAAAAUAGGCACAAAGGACCAUGACCACUGCAUAAGCUUAUAUAUGGGGCAAGAUUUGAGGAAGAAAGGACUUUUGGCUCAGACUGGAAUUCUGGAAUUCCAUUGGAAUUUGCGAUGCAUAAGUACAAACCAGGGGACUGGGGACUGCUCAAAUCCUAGAAGGAGACCAAACUUCAGCCUGACUGGAAAGGACCCUACCAAAUGUUGCUGACCACAGAAACAGCAAUCUGGACAGUCGAAAAAGGGUGGACAUAUUAUAUCAGAGUCAAAGGACCAGUGGACAAACCUCAGGAAUAGACUGUUUAAAGUUGCCCUGAUCUGGGAGGGAAGAGGUUCUCAAAAGACCUUGGAUUGAUCAUUCUUGUGCUACAAUAUUGUUUCUUAUACUUGUAGUAAUAUUCUUGGUGGCCAUUUACGAGAAACCUAGAGAAGGGAAUCCUUUACUGAAGGAGCUACUUAGCGAUAAUAAGUGUAGGGCUCUUGUGUGUGUAGUAUUAGGAAUCAUAAGAACAGCUAUAUUCCCUGAGAGAAUUAUGGCAGAAGCACAGCAAAUGCUUCCACUGUCAUACUUAGUGAGAGCAGUCCCAUUCCUCUUUCAUUGCUCCUAAUGCCCUUUUACAACUAGCCAAAAUAGUGGUUAACACUUUCAACCUGAGUGGUUGUUGGGUCUGUGGAGGUCCUGAAACAUCGGAAUUGUGGCUGUGGUACCCAGAACCUUUGAGUCUGGCCGGGAUAUUCAGUAACCAGUCAGAGGUAAGGAAUGGCACUGGUUUCUGGGACCAAGAAGAAAAACACAUAGUUGGCCCUUGGCUGGAAGUGUUCUAGGACAAUAUUGCCCGAACCAAACAGAAGCAGGUGAGAACCUGGGGAGAGGACUAUAGAAGAGAAAGUGGUUGCCUCAUUAAUUGUACAUGGAAAGGGAAACAGCAAUUAUGGUGGUGUAAUUCAACAUUUAUGGAAGAAGGACUCUUUUGAUCAGAAGAAAAGCAAUAUUACCCCACAGUGCGAGGGAGACCCAGGUUGUUUAGUGAAGAAAGUCCUGCAUUAAAGGGGCAUUAUUGGAUUUGUGGACUAACUGCUUACACCCACCUAUCAUUUAAUUGGACAGGAGUAUGUUAUAUAGGAUUAGUAAGAUCAGGCUUUUUCUUUUCAGAAGGACCAAAGGGGUAUGACAUUGGGAUCCCAUUAUAUGAUGGUUUCCAAAGACAGAAAAAGAACCUUAGACACCAGUAUUACCCAAUCAGGAGGUGCCAAUGGCUGGGGUAAUGAAGGGCCACCUGAAAGAAUAAUUCAAAUCUAUGGGCCAGCAACUUGGGCCCAAGAUGGGAGCUAAGGAUACAGAACUGCCAUCUAUCUCCUUAAUAGAUUAAUUAGACUCCAGGUAGACCAACCUGCACAAGCUUUAGAACUUCUUGCUGAUCAAGCCAUCCAGCCACAGGCAACUGUGUAUCAACAUAGAGUAGUAUUAGAUUAUGUUCUAGCAGAAGAAGGGGUUUAUGGAAAACUAAGUAAGUAAUUGCUGUCUACAAAUUGAUGAUAAUGGGCAAAUAGUUAGAAAUCUGGCUACAAAAAUUUGUAAAGUAGUACAUGUGCCAGUCAAAAGGGGAAAGUAUGGUUUGACUAAAACUGGUUUAAUUGGCUGACAGGGUCAUGGUGGAAGCAACUUGAAAUGAUAAUUCUGUUAAAAUCAGGCGGAUUAUUAUUUAUACCCUGCUCGAUUCCUUCCCUGAUAAAGCUUAUUUCACAUUUGGUAGAAGGGAUGUGAAUUGUUACGCUGCCAAAAAAGACAAAGCAAGGUGUCUCAAUUAUGGUAGUAAAAAGAAAACAUAGUCCUAGAGAAGAAAAGGAGGAGCAAGAAUGUUUAAAACUUCUUGAAAAGGGCUAAAAAGGAAAAUAAGAAAUUAUGGAAACAAAACCCAUAUUGAAACAGAAAGUGAGAAAUUGAGAGAUACAAUGAAAAUGUUUGUUUCCAUAAAUUUGGAGAAAACAGCUAGAAAAAUAACUAAGUAAAACAGGAUAAGGCUGGUCUUGUUUUGCUGUUAGAAGUCAGUAAAUAGGACAAAGGUUAAGCUUUGCUUAGAGUGCUUAUGCUUAAUAGGCUCAUGAAUACUAAGUUUACUAUCUUCUCCAUCUCCAGGAGGGGCUAAGACCCCAUUUUCUGAACAUGCAAUGUAUGUUGAAGGAGAGAAGAUAUGUCAAGGAGUAGAUGUGUAAUAGGCAUGCCAGAAAGUUGUACACUCUGGAGUACUCAGCCAGCGAGGAAACAGAGGAGGGACUUUGGGGCCAGGAUUAGAGAUAAAUAGUGAACUCUUACUUUGGUAUAAUGUGUCCUAGUGCAUAGGACACCCGAAGUUGCAACUGCAUAAUAAACUGGCUUUUAACUUCA